RNAcentral lists this ribosomal RNA (615 nucleotides) under uncultured yeast. Its description in RNAcentral is "eukaryotic LSU rRNA". It matches the Rfam family "Eukaryotic large subunit ribosomal RNA", at positions 38 to 667 of the family's 3401-position model. The record is from RNAcentral. Lineage: Eukaryota; Fungi.
GCAUAUCAAUAAGCGGAGGAAAAGAAACCAACCGGGAUUGCCUUAGUAACGGCGAGUGAAGCGGCAAAAGCUCAAAUUUGAAAUCUGGUACCUUCGGUGCCCGAGUUGUAAUUUGGAGAGGGCAACUUUGGGGCCGUUCCUUGUCUAUGUUCCUUGGAACAGGACGUCAUAGAGGGUGAGAAUCCCGUGUGGCGAGGAGUGCGGUUCUUUGUAAAGUGCCUUCGAAGAGUCGAGUUGUUUGGGAAUGCAGCUCUAAGUGGGUGGUAAAUUCCAUCUAAAGCUAAAUAUUGGCGAGAGACCGAUAGCGAACAAGUACAGUGAUGGAAAGAUGAAAAGAACUUUGAAAAGAGAGUGAAAAAGUACGUGAAAUCGUUGAAAGGGAAGGGCAUUUGAUCAGACAUGGUGUUUUGUGCCCUCUGCUCCUUGUGGGUAGGGGAAUCUCGCAUUUCACUGGGCCAGCAUCAGUUUUGGUGGCAGGAUAAAUCCAUAGGAAUGUAGCUUGCCUCGGUAAGUAUUAUAGCCUGUGGGAAUACUGCCAGCUGGGACUGAGGACUGCGACGUAAGUCAAGGAUGCUGGCAUAAUGGUUAUAUGCCGCCCGUCUUGAAACACGGACC